GGCAGAGUGGAGCAGUUGGUAGCACUGUUGUGUCACAGCAAGAAGUCCCUGGCUUCGAAUCCCAGCCUGGGCCU
RNAcentral lists this transfer RNA (74 nucleotides) under Anguilla anguilla (European eel). RNAcentral's name for it is "tRNA-Ser". Lineage: Eukaryota; Metazoa; Chordata; Actinopteri; Anguilliformes; Anguillidae. The record is from RNAcentral.